This 365-nucleotide transfer RNA is filed under the name uncultured Microcystis sp. RNAcentral describes it as "partial 16S-23S ribosomal RNA intergenic spacer". The stretch from base 136 to 209 matches the Rfam family "tRNA". Lineage: Bacteria; Bacillati; Cyanobacteriota; Cyanophyceae; Chroococcales; Microcystaceae. The record is from RNAcentral.
AAAGGGAGACCUAAUUCAGGUAAAAGACGAAAAAAAAGUAGUCGCUACCAAGAAUCAAUCCCAAAAGGUCGGAGCGAGGCGAAAUUGGCUUUCAAACUAGGUUCUGGGUUCAAACAAGACCUGAAUCAGGAACAAGGGCUAUUAGCUCAGGUGGUUAGAGCGCACCCCUGAUAAGGGUGAGGUCCCUGGUUCGAGUCCAGGAUGGCCCACCUGUACAGGUGGCAAAAAGAAAGAAAAGAAGCGAGGAAUCAGCACCUUAUCUUACUUAUAUAGUAAGAGAGAAUGCUGGCUCUGAGUAAAGAGUCCAGAGGAACCUUGAAAACUGCAUAGAGCUAGGUGAAAAAGCCAAAAAAGAAGACCGCAAG